RNAcentral lists this ribosomal RNA (172 nucleotides) under uncultured Pichia. Its description in RNAcentral is "partial 26S ribosomal RNA". It matches the Rfam family "Eukaryotic large subunit ribosomal RNA", at positions 62 to 235 of the family's 3401-position model. Lineage: Eukaryota; Fungi; Ascomycota; Saccharomycetes; Saccharomycetales; Saccharomycetaceae. The record is from RNAcentral.
AAACCAACAGGGAUUGCCUCAGUAGCGGCGAGUGAAGCGGCAAGAGCUCAGAUUUGAAAUCGUGCUUUGCGGCACGAGUUGUAGAUUGCAGGUUGGAGUCUGUGUGGAAGGCGGUGUCCAAGUCCCUUGGAACAGGGCGCCCAGGAGGGUGAGAGCCCCGUGGGAUGCCGGC